GACGAACGCUGGCGGCGUGCUUAACACAUGCAAGUCGAACGGAAAGGCCCUGCUUUUGUGGGGUGCUCGAGUGGCGAACGGGUGAGUAACACGUGAGUAACCUGCCCUUGACUUUGGGAUAACUUCAGGAAACUGGGGCUAAUACCGGAUAGGAGCUCCUGCUGCAUGGUGGGGGUUGGAAAGUUUCGGCGGUUGGGGAUGGACUCGCGGCUUAUCAGCUUGUUGGUGGGGUAGUGGCUUACCAAGGCUUUGACGGGUAGCCGGCCUGAGAGGGUGACCGGCCACAAUGGGACUGAGAUACGGCCCAGACUCCUACGGGAGGCAGCAGUGGGGAGUAUUGCACAGUGGGCGGGAGCCUGAUGCAGCAACGCCGCGUGCGGGAUGACGGCCUUCGGGUUGUAAACCGCUUUCGCCUGUGACGAAGCGUGAGUGACGGUAAUGGGUAAAGAAGCACCGGCUAACUACGUG
RNAcentral lists this ribosomal RNA (468 nucleotides) under uncultured bacterium. RNAcentral describes it as "partial 16S ribosomal RNA". It matches the Rfam family "Bacterial small subunit ribosomal RNA", at positions 28 to 507 of the family's 1533-position model. The record is from RNAcentral.